GAGGGGAGCGGCGUGGGGAGUCACUUGGGUGGUGAUGCCUUAAAACAUCACAAUAAUUACAGCCAAAUUGGCUAUUGUUAGGAAAUAAAAUGCAUUUUGAUCUUUUUUGUGUAUGCGAAUAUAAAGCAAAGCAGGUACUUGGAAGUCUGCUCCCAACGAAAUUACAUGGUAAUAAGGCUUUUCACACCUACUCAGCACUUAGUAACCAAGCUCUGAAAAGAGUGAGAUUGAGCCCUGAUAGGUUUGAAACUUGGGACCUGAGACUUGUGGCUUUCUUCUUUAGGAGAGAAAAACAUGGCUCGCUGAAUUAUUCAUGCCCCCUUUCCAGCACCUAUCUUUAGGGGUGAAACUGUUAGGCUGCUGCGAUUAAGUGCGAGGGUCCACCCCGCUCCACAGUCCUCUGCUAAUUACCUGGAGUAUUUGCCACUGGUGCCUCCCUGCAGCUCGCACCUCCCUUCCUCCCUCCCACCUCCACUCCUCAAGGAAAAGAAGGGGCGGGGUUUGCAAAAGUAGCCAAGGCGGGGUUUCUCUCCCACCACUGGAGCCUGUUCAAAGAUAGUUUGUUGUCAGCCAGUUCCCACCGACAGAGACCUGUUGUCAUCAGCUCUAACUUCCAAUGAAUCAAGGACAGCCCUGAACGUGGACUUGGGGCUUAUUUAAGAGGCUCUCCCCUCACCUCUCCCAUACUUGUUCCACACCUGGAUUCGGGCUAUUUGCAUGACAAUGAGCUAAACAGGAGACCUUAAUGAAGGCUUCAGUUGUGCUCCAGGGAGGAACUGCGCAGAAUCGCUGGGCAACCACGGGACGGACUUGCAGCUACAGUGGUCGCCCGACAAAUCAGGAGGCAAAUCCAUCUGAGCCCACAACUACAGACCAAUUCCGACAUCUCAUGAACACGUACACUGACUUAAUUCCUUCAGCUGAAGAAAACAGGCAACUAAUGAUCACAGUUCUCUCAGCCAGUCCAAGAUGGAGCCACCAAGCUACUAGGACGUAGGCCCACGGUGGGUUUUGCAAGGCUGGCUGUGUCAGCGUGGUUCUCCCCCAGGGUUAGAGCAGGGAGCCCCCACUCCUCUGGGGAAGAAUGGUUAACAUAGUUGAAGUCAAUUCAUUCCUUCGGCCUUCCGUGGAAACCCCACCCCGUGGCUCUGUCUGAAAGGGUUCUGGAAUGCCUAUGGUUUCUUGCUCAAGAAAGAAGAAUAGCUUUUUUGUGUCAUUCUGAGAGCAAGCAACAUGAGUCUCCACCACAUACUGCAAAACUUGGAGACACACGAUGCGUCAACCGAAUCGCGGUCCCGGCAAGCAAGCCGUGAUAAGGAGGUGUGCGGCACUCCACAGCCAGUCUCCUGCCGGUGAAGCAGCAGAACAGCCCAGCCAGCGCCGCCUAACAGCUGCGUUCUUGUCUACAACUCCAGCUGCAUGAAAGUGGCACGCUACUAGGAAACAGUGUGUGUGCCAAUAAUGGAGAUUGUUCGAGAUUUCCAAGGAAUUGGAGAACAAGAGCGGAUUGUACGGACGGAGCUUAGGGAAUUCAUGGCUUGGCUGGAGCUUUUUGGACGUGGAUCUGUUCUUCCCUCAGCAGCCUUGGAUGGGGUUGAGAGGAAAUCUGGUGCUUGGGUGAGACGGGGCAGAUGAGGGAGUCACACGGAACCUGAGGGCCUGUGGAGGCUAGAACUGCAGCGUGAGGCGAAAUUUAAGGCAUAGGAUUGGACUCACCCAAGUAUCAGAACAGGCAUCCGGGUUCUCCCCAUCUCCGGCCCAUUGCCUCUGUCAUGGGUUCUUCCUUAGAGGCCCACAGCAGAGGCACUUAAGGAAGAAGCUUGUGGCUCCAGAGAGAGGUGUCCUCACAGGGAGUCUCUCAAUUGUUCUUUCCCGGUCUGUCUCCCACCUUCCAGAUCUCAGUUUGUGGAUGGGAGAGGGAGGGGACGUGGGGCAUCGUAUCCAGUUGUACAGAUGGAGAAAUUGGGAUACAACAUGUUUAAGUGCCUGAGGCUUAUCUAGGAUUGAUCCCUUCCCUCUCCACAGCUUUGCUGGAAUAAACCAAGAUUAAUUGGAGGAAAAUAUACA
This 2067-nucleotide long non-coding RNA is filed under the name Oryctolagus cuniculus (rabbit). Its description in RNAcentral is "lncRNA (ENSOCUG00000033068.1)". Lineage: Eukaryota; Metazoa; Chordata; Mammalia; Lagomorpha; Leporidae. The record is from RNAcentral.